CAAUAGCGUAUAUUAAAGUUGUUGCAGUUAAAAAGCUCGUAGUUGGAUUUGUGGCGUACGGUGUGUUCCGGGCACUUGUUGUCUGAGUAACCUGCUGUUGCCAUCCUUGGGUGGAACCUGUGUGGCAUUAGGUUGUCGUGCAGGGGAUGCCCAUCAUUUACUGUGAAAAAAUUAGAGUGUUCAAAGCAGGCUUAUGCCGUUGAAUAUAUUAGCAUGGAAUAAUGAGAUAGGACUUUUUUGCUAUUUUGUUGGUUUGCGCAAAGAGGUAAUGAUUAAUAGGGACAGUUGGGGAUAUUCGUAUUCCAUUGUCAGAGGUGAAAUUCUUGGAUUUUUGGAAGACGAACUACUGCGAAAGCAUUUACCAAGGAUGUUUCCAUUAA
RNAcentral lists this ribosomal RNA (380 nucleotides) under uncultured eukaryote. Its description in RNAcentral is "partial 18S ribosomal RNA". It matches the Rfam family "Eukaryotic small subunit ribosomal RNA", at positions 592 to 976 of the family's 1831-position model. The record is from RNAcentral.